CUAUGCGCCUUGCCAGCCCGCUCAGUCAGAGUUUGAUCCUGGCUCAGAUUGAACGCUGGCGGCAUGCCUUACACAUGCAAGUCGAACGGUAACAGGUUAAGCUGACGAGUGGCGAACGGGUGAGUAAUGUAUCGGAACGUGCCCAGUCGUGGGGGAUAACUGCUCGAAAGAGCAGCUAAUACCGCAUACGACCUGAGGGUGAAAGCGGGGGAUCGCAAGACCUCGCGCGAUUGGAGCGGCCGAUAUCAGAUUAGGUAGUUGGUGAGGUAAAGGCUCACCAAGCCGACGAUCUGUAGCUGGUCUGAGAGGACGACCAGCCACACUGGGACUGAGACACGGCCCAG
This 344-nucleotide ribosomal RNA is filed under the name uncultured bacterium. RNAcentral's name for it is "bacterial SSU rRNA". It matches the Rfam family "Bacterial small subunit ribosomal RNA", at positions 1 to 334 of the family's 1533-position model. The record is from RNAcentral.